AGAGUUUGAUCCUGGCUCAGAUUGAACGCUGGCGGCACGCCUAACACAUGCAAGUCGAGCGGUAACAUGGCACGUAGAAAUACGAGUUGAUGACGAGCGGCGGACGGGUGAGUAACACGUAGGAACUUGCCCAGAAGAGGGGGAUAACCAAGGGAAACUUUGGCUAAUACCGCAUAAUACUCGGAAGAGGAAAACUAUGA
This 200-nucleotide ribosomal RNA is filed under the name uncultured bacterium. RNAcentral describes it as "partial 16S ribosomal RNA". It matches the Rfam family "Bacterial small subunit ribosomal RNA", at positions 8 to 212 of the family's 1533-position model. The record is from RNAcentral.